This 253-nucleotide ribosomal RNA is filed under the name uncultured bacterium. RNAcentral describes it as "partial 16S ribosomal RNA". It matches the Rfam family "Bacterial small subunit ribosomal RNA", at positions 524 to 776 of the family's 1533-position model. The record is from RNAcentral.
UACAGAGGUCCCAAGCGUUGUUCGGAUUUAUUGGGCGUAAAGGGUGCGUAGGCGGCGGGGUAAGUUGGGUGUGAAAUCCCGGGGCUCAACCUCGGAAUUGCAUUCAAUACUGCUUCGCUUGAGCACUGGAGAGGAGGCUGGAAUUUACGGUGUAGCAGUGAAAUGCGUAGAUAUCGUAAGGAAGGCCGGUGGCGAAAGCGAGCCUCUGGACAGUUGCUGACGCUGAUGCACGAAGGCCAGGGGAGCAAACGGG